GACGAACGCUGGCGGCGUGCUUAACACAUGCAAGUCGAACGAUGAAGAAGAGCUUGCUCUUCGGAUUAGUGGCGAACGGGUGAGUAACACGUGACUAACCUGCCCCUUUCUCUGGGAUAACGCUCCGAAAGGAGUGCUAAUACCGGAUACUCACAUCGAGGCACAUGCCUUGAUGUGGAAAGUUUUUCGGAAAGGGAUGGAGUCGCGGCCUAUCAGCUUGUUGGUGAGGUAACGGCUCACCAAGGCGACGACGGGUAGCCGGCCUGAGAGGGGGACCGGCCAAACUGGGACUGAGACACGGGCCAGACUCCUACGGGAGGCAGCAGGUGGGAAUAUUGCACCAUGGGCGAAAGCCUGAUGCAGCGACGCCGCGUGAGGGAUGAAGGUCUUCGGAUUGUAAACCUCUUUCAGUAGGGACGAAGCGAAAGUGACGGUACCUAAAGAAGAAGCACCGGCUAACUACGUGCCAGCCGCCGCGGUAA
This 482-nucleotide ribosomal RNA is filed under the name uncultured bacterium. Its description in RNAcentral is "partial 16S ribosomal RNA". It matches the Rfam family "Bacterial small subunit ribosomal RNA", at positions 28 to 523 of the family's 1533-position model. The record is from RNAcentral.